Molecule: non-coding RNA, 6180 nt
Organism: Coturnix japonica (Japanese quail)
Lineage: Eukaryota; Metazoa; Chordata; Aves; Galliformes; Phasianidae
Source: RefSeq, a predicted model, not a curated record
GGUCAGGGAAAGGGGCUGCACCACAGGGCGGUGGGCAUGGAACGGGAUGCACAGGGCUGUGGGCACGGCCCCCAGUGCUGGAGAUCAAGGAGAGUUUGGACACUGCUAUCAGAAGUAGGGUUUGAAUUCUGGGUGGUCCUGUGUGGAACCUGGUCCUGGACUUGGUGAUCAUUCCUGGUUCUUUCCGAUGUGGGAUGUUCUAUGCCUCAAAUGUGGCCAUGUGUCAGCUCUGAGGAAAAAACCUCCCACAGAUGUGGAGCACAGAUGGUUAAUGCGUGCAAUUUUAGUGGGUCCAGGACUCAUCCACAAAUGGUAUCUCCAGUCCCAGAGGAAAUAUACAAAAUAUGAAUCCAAAGCAUUCAGCUGAGAUGUGGCAAAUGCAGACCUUAGCAACCUCAGAGACAUAACACCAUUCUUUCCUCAUCUGACAUGAUGGGAGCUUUUUAAUUCACUCUUAAACAGUUUAAUUGGUGGCAGAGGUGGAGGGGAGUUGCCAUAGGUUUUCUGAGUACUAGCAAGGAAAACAGCAACCACUGAGAUCCUAAACAAAAAUAAAUCUGGAGAUGGAAUCAUACAUUCACAGAAUAUUCUGAGCUGGAAGGUACCCACAAGUAUCUAUAAGUCCAGCUCCUGGCUCCACACAGCAACACCCAAAAUUCCAACCUUAUGUCUGAGAGCAUUUUCCAUAUCCUCCCUGAACUCCAUCAGUUCAGUGCUGUGACCUCUGGGGAGGCAGCUGUGGUGAGCAGGCUUUACAGUGAAUGACAUGGAUGUAGUGCAUGGGUGGAAGGUAAGGACAUUUUUCUGUGGCCUUGUCUUCUAAAACAAGGCUUUAAGUGGCCUGGAAUAGAGUGUCGUGGAGCUGCUCAUUGGUGAUAUUGUGGAUCUUUGAAGUCUGAAUGCUAGGGCUGGUUUUCAUCACCUGAGUUUAGUAAUCAGUAUUAUUUAUUGCUAUUCUCAGUGAAAAUUGAUAAAUAAUUCUUGAAGGCAUUUGAGAAUGAAUAAGCAUUCCAAGAAUUCUGAAGUCAUCUUUAUUUUAAUUUUAUUGCCUUAGUAUAAAUAAUUGUCCUUUUUUAGUUAUUGGGAUUUAGAAGAUACAUUUUCUUAGCUUCAAAUAGCUCAAAAAAUAAAUACAAGUCUGGAGGUACCAUGUCCUAGCAACAGCAUGCAGAGAUCAUUCCUGAGCACGAAUGGGUUCCAGGAAUGGCAGGAGGGAAGCACUCAAGUGACAUGAAGAGGGUUCAGAGUUCCAAGUCUGUGUGUAGAGCUCCAAGUCUGUGUUUAGACCUCCCAGCCAUGUGAAGCCAGGAAGAUGGUUCUGGCCUAUCCCCUCUCACCCCUGUGCACACUUUAGUGCUAAAAAUGAUACUGUAUUAAGGAAGAAGACCAGCAAAACACUAUGCCACCUGUGCUGUUUAAGUGCUUAUGGAAAGCUUGGCCAAACAAACAAGCAAAACCCAAGGAACAGUACACACUUGUAAUUAGCAGCGUCUUUUGUUCUGGGGAAGGAGUGGAGACAGCUGCCAUUAAACGUUCUGCAGGGAGUGUUUCAAAGACAGAAUCUAAGUGCUAAGAGAAAGGAAUAUUUAGUUACAAAGGAUUAGUACUGUGCUUUAUAACUUCAUAACAUAGUUACUGUUUCUAGUCACUUUGAAACAGGUAGAAAGAGACUAAUUUUUUGUAUUUGUUUUUCACCCCAGCAAAGAAGAACUGAAAAGAGUAUUUGCCCAGAUAGUGCAGUCAUCUUCAGAUUGUGUACACUUUCUGCCAUUGCUUUCACAAUCAAGUAUUUAUCCUCCUUAGGAAACUUUUGAAGGUACUUCAGUUACUCAUUUCUAGGAACUGAGGUCUCACGUCCAGAAAAAGCUCCCGUUGGUACAAGCUGUAGCUGCCCUCCUGCCUAGCAACACGGAUCAUCACAAACAAAUCCGUCCGGAGCACCCUGGCUCCCAUUGAAAUAGUGUCCAAAUACGGUCUCUGUAUCAAUAGUUCAGCAAGCACUCUUUGUGCAAUUCUUUUUGCCAGUGCUGGAUGAUAGCUCCUUCUUGACUGCAGUCUGAUUCAAGGUAUGUUCUGUUGGACUAGUGAGGCUGGUGGCUAAAAUAAAGAGAUCUGUAGAUGUGUUUCUAAAUGUCUGGACUGAGUUAAUACUGGUUAGAACAAUUAGAGAUGCUUUGGCCAGUUUGGAGGCAAAUACCAACCUCAUCUCCUCAAAUCACAUUUCCAAAGUAUGAAAUCAAUGUUUAAUGUUUUUAUUUAUAUACAUAAUGUUUGCAAUUGCCCUUUCUCCUUUCAACCAAUUUUAUCCACAGAUAAAAAGAGGGAAGAAAAAAAGAAAAAAAAAAAAAAAAAAGGUUUCAUCAUAGUCUAAUCCAGCUCUUUGAGAGGAAGAUUGCGAGUACCCAGGCUUAGAAGAAUCGUGCAUGGAUAUAGACAAGAAAAGGCUGUGGAAGGCUAGUCAGUGAAACUUUGUUAAAGAAAAGUCCAUAUAGGAGGUACUAAAGAAAGCCAGUUGGUAGGGAUUACAUAAAUAGGCAGGCGACUUAAUGCCAGUGACUGGAGAUUCACAGCAACUCAGAAGGGAAUGUGCCAGCCAUUUUCAGAAAUGACUCCAAUGAAGAUGCAUGCAGCUACAUAGAGGGAAGGAACUCUGGUGUCAGUGGGUUGUGCUGGUUAUCCGUGGGACAGUUAUUGGCUCCAAAGUUGUGUCGCUCUGCAGAGGAAGAGACUUAACUUUGAAGGCAAGAAUAAGAGAAAGAACACACAGUAGAAGAAAGACUAUCUCCCUAUAGGAUAAGAGGCCACUUCAACAUCCUUCCCCGGAGAGAAAUGGAAGAUCUCCAUGGGUUGUUCAAAACAUCGUUUUAUUCAGAUGGGCAAUGCCAUUCUGAGAAACAGAAAAGACACGACUGCAACUGUGGGAGGCAAAAGUGCAAGAGGGUGCGUGACUGUUGCGUGAGAGAAAGGAAAUGUAACUUCCUCCCUUUGUAUUUGCAUACACAGAACUUCUUUUAGCUGUAUGGUAGAACACACUAUGAUUCAGCCUAAAUUUAAACCUUUUUAUUCAGCUGCAUAAAGGUAACUUGAAAGCUGACUGUAUAGAAAAUGCUCACGUUACCUCUGCUGUUUGCACAUUCACCAGGUCUUAAUGCUUGCUGCACUGAACUGUAUUAGCUAAAGUUAUAGUUGAAUGUUCUUCCUUAUCUCUCUUUUUCAUCACUUAAAAAUCUGUUCAUGGUAAAGCCUUGUGUAUUUUGUUUCAACUCAAAAGUUACUGGGAGACUUAAGGGAAAAGAUGUUUACCUACAUAACAUGUAGGAAAAUACAUUUCCAUUAGUCUCUGAUUCAAACGUCACACAAAUAUAAUGCAAAAGAAUAAAUUUGGAAUCUAAGUCUGAAGAAAAUAAAUUCAUUAUUUUGGUGGUGCAAGUAUUUAAGACUGAAAAACCUAUACUGACACAGUAAAAAAAAACAACACCAUCCAUUCCAGGUGACGUACAGCUAAAAUUGUUUGUAGAGCUAUAUGAAUAUUGAGCUGAUGACUCUCAUUGCAAAGUUCCCUUACACAACUUAGCAAUGGCCUUAAAGUACUUUUGGUUUUAACUGUUCAAACCAUAACUGACAUCUCUCUUGCAAGUGCUGUGCCAUUUUGGAAGUGGUAACUCCAGACUUCUCCUAUUCAAGAGGGGACUAGAAAGGAGACCAUAUUUAGAAGAUCAGUCUGCUAAACCGUGAUCUGUAUACCACACAUAUAAAAAAUCUGUAUCAGACAACAGAUCUUGAUGCUCGAAUAGGAAUGUAAUAGGAAUACUGGUAAUUUACAAACAAUUUUGUUUGAAGUAAUGUACUUAUUCUUACUAUUUGCCAUACAAGGAAACGUGAAAGAAGGGGUAUUUUGUGCAUCAUAUCAGAACUACAAGUUGCUCCUGUUGGUGAAGUCUCCACACCUGUUCUCUCCAAACUAACUGUGGCUCAGUCACUACAGAAUUUUGCGAUACAAUGGGAAGCUGUUGCUGAAAGCCCUGUUUUCUGCAGUUUGUGAUGCUCUGUUGGGAAAAGGAACAACAAAUGCCUGGAAACUUUCCCUAAUUCUGGAGAAACUUUUAUGCUUGUUUUUUUUUUCCUUUCUUCAGUAGGCACAUACAGUGACACUUGUGUGUUGGGUGUAACAAAACCAUAUAUUGUCUCUUUGGCUAAGUAGAUGAUGCCUAGAGCUAUCUGGGAUUUGGGCAAGAAUUAACAACACUGUGCUGGGUUAUUUACCAUAAUUUAUUACACACUGCUCUUAUUUCUCUAACAAGCAACAUGAAAAGGACAACAAAAAGUUCCUUCUUGUGAAAACCUCAGACUGGAAUAGUUUUGCUGCUCUUCUCAGCCUUUUAAACUGGUAUUUUGUCUGCAGUUGCUUGUAAGUUCCCAAAACUGAAAUAUUACCUUUCCCAAACUAAGCCCAACCUCUCCCAGUUCUAUUCCUCUCACUCUCAAAAACAAACAAACAAAAAAAUCAAGCCUGAAGGAGCAACCAGGAUCCAGAAUUUCUUCCAAGCUGUUGAAACUUGGUAGAACCAUAAACAAUGGGAAAGAAACAAACAAACAAGGAUUAGUUGAAUGUUUGCCUCAGACAGAACAUUCUGUAGAGAAAGAAAAAAAAAUAUAUGCCAGAAAGGUUUCAGACAUUUCUCAGAAUGAAGCUAGAAGAACAUACGUAUAUUAUUUUAAAUUUCUGUAAAAUCUUUAGUCUUUUAAUUGAAAAUACUGAAAACAGCUCUUAAUAAUCAAUACAGGUGCUGCCGUGAUGUGAGAGAAUUGUUCUGUUCCUUUCCUGUUAUGGAUGCUCAAGGCUCUGAACAUCAUACACGCAAGAACAGCAUGUCCAAAAUAUCUGACGUAAUCCACGUGUCAGAUGAUGGCUCUGUAUCGCACACGCACACAGUUUGGUCUCAGUGAUUACAUGACGUACACAAAUUGAUCACAUUCAGUGUCAGGCUUAUUGAACCUAUCUGAAACAGGGACUUGGCUCUCGUGCCAGGGCUUAAGGAGACUCAGCCCUUCCUGUUAUCCUCCCCAGUGAGAACAAUGAACGUCUGAGAAAUCUGCUGGUGCAGAUUCUCACAAGCACAGCAUAGAGGCUCUUGUUCAUCUCUGGCAAAAACGUAAAGCUAUGUUGAAAAAAAAAGUAUUUUGUACCUGGAAAUCUGCUCUAUCAAACAAUGCUAUUGUGCUCUGUGUUGUAGUUUCCAUGGAAAUAAGUAGGAGGCAUUACUUCUGGAGCAACCUACGUAUUCUAGUUCUUCAGAAGAGGUAUUCAUUCAGACUUCUAAGGGUCAGACACUGGGUUUUACAUUGAAUAGUGGUGUAACCAGAAUAAACAUAAAAACGAGAGUUGCAUUUUAAAAAUAUUUAUUGAUACACAUUUAUUAUAUUAUUAUUUAUAUUACCGCAGACUCAUCUUGAUAAAUACAAGACGUCAUUGAGUAAAAAAACCAACAACUUUUGAAUGAAUGUAUCUGUGAGAUCCACUGCAGUGGGAUUUCGAAAUGACCAUUCACAAUUAUUACUGGUGAUAGAGCAGCGAGCACCUCAGCAGAUAAAGCUAGCAGGAGGUUUCAUGGCCAUGUAGGCUGGCACCUUGCAGAUCGUGCUUCUAAGAAAUUCCAUGAACGGGAUCGUGAAGUCAGGACACUGUAGAUACCUUGGAGACAAUAUCUGCCACACAACUACAGGGUAAGGAAACUCUAUUUCCCAUCACCGGACAAGCUUUGGAAGAAGCUGCCAAAGAAGGACCUGAUUUUACAAGGAUUUAGGACUUUUUUUUUUUCUUUUAAUCUAAGGGGAAUUUUCCCAGAGAGAAGCAGAAGCUUUACAUUGGGAAGUUGUAAGUAGAGUCAACUGAACUUUGUUACCAUCAGCAGAACCAAAUGCACAAUUUUAAAGGGAUGGGCCUUGCGUUACACUGGCCCUUUUGGAUGUGAGCGAAGUAUUAUGAUUAAAUUAACAGAAUGUCUUUCGCGUGUUUCCAAACGCAGAGAAAACACCUCCCUCCAGAAGCUGGAAAUAGAAGACGCAGAGGAAAUCCCAGAUGGGACAUACUUGAGACUGUGUCACUUGACUUUGAAAAUUAUUAAAGAAUCACCGUUCUUUGAGAUGCCUGAUAGUGAUUUUGAUGGAAAACUCUUCUGC